UCUUCUUCCCAGCUGCUUUUCACCACCGUGCUGAUCCAGUUUUGUCCAGUUUUGUCCAGCAGAUGGUGGUGUGCCUUUGCCCAAUUUUUCCAAGAUGCAGAACACAUUGCAGGUAUUUCCAUAAUCUUAGGUGGACUAGAUAAACAAAAAAAUCCAAGAAGGUCUGAAAAUAAACGUAUCUUAUUUGCUUCGUAUUAACCUGGUAUAUAGUAACCUCCUUGCUAAGGCUAGUUCUGGGAAGGGGAUUUGUUGGUUCCUAGAAUAUAAAAUCAGUCUAAAACAUAAGGAUUUUACCUGUCUUAUGUGCUGUAACCAGUUUUUGCCAGGUGAGUUUGAGUUCUUUUAUCUGCUGCAGUAUGAAAUGGCACCAGAAGCUAGUCCCACCAUGGGGGUGUGAGCAAGGAAAAGUUGGGAUACUCAAUUCAGGGGCAGUGUUGCUUUAUGCUGUGUAAGUUUGAGUGGUGGGACUUGAGGGACUUCUGGCACGAAGCCAGAAGCUGCGUUGAAAAGCACAAACGCAGGGUUAUCAGAACAGCAUUCCUGUAACCCAAGUGGGACUUCCAGCGCUUAGUAAAGGACUGCUGCCGCCUGCUGGCAAUCUAGGUUUUCAGCUCCUCUAGUGCGAGGGCUGGCUAUGUGUCUGCUUAAAUUGCUUCACAGGAUAUAAAAAGUGUAAGAGAAAAUAUGAUCUUAGUGACAGCUCUGUACUGUUUUCCCGAUCUCUAAAUGUGCUGUGAAUCCACCUCUGAAGAGGUGGAGGACUGAAGUCCCAUAAUAGCUGAAUAUGUAUUUCAUAAAAAGUUUAGACUCUUGAUUUCAGAAUCAAAUCUGCAUCUCUCACUUGUCCAAAAUUUUGGAGGCGUUUUGUUUCAUACUUUUAUGUACAUUGCAACGUUUAUUUAUUUUUAGCCUGUUAGAUUCCAGUGCUCUACUAAAGGUUCUGCAACAGAAUAACACGAAGGCAUACAUUGCUACAGCUGUAAUUCUCCCCAUGAGCCUUUUUCUCGCAGCAGUGACUGGAACAGGGGUGCCUUACAGCUGCAGUGGCACGAGUGUGCUCAUGCUAAAGAAGAACAAAGUGUAAUAGGAGGUACUGCAAGAACAUCAACUGGCACUUUGCUCUAUGGCUGGCCAGAUAGAGAAGUCUAUUAGAGCCUAGAAAGUUAGCAGUACAAGGAGCAGCCUGUUCAAUGCUGGGGAUACGUACUUCAACUGUUCAUUAUUGAAAGUGUGGUGCCUUACAGAUACGUGGAUUUAAAAAUUAGUAACGAAUUCUAGCAUAGAAUUGAAUAGGUUGAAAGCAUUUGAUCUUGGAAUGUCACUGUUUUCAGAUGCCAAGUUUCAGUAAAUGAAAUAAGUUCUUUUUGUGCAUUCCUGGUGAAAACUUUAAAUAUUAAAACAUUUAAAGUCUCUUUAUAAAAUGAAAAAAUACAUUGAAAUUCCACAACUAAUGUGAAGCAUGCCCAUGAAUGGAAAAAAAUCAAAUUUGCCAAGUUUGAUCAAAACAUGAUCUUUCCAACUGCAGACUAUAUAAAACCAGUAUGUUGCUUGAAACUUUUGCUAUAUUCUCUCUAUUUUUAUACCUCUUAGCAGCAGUAGAAACUAAAUGAGCCAAAUGUCUUUUAGGAACGUUGUUGUUUUUAGGAUAGAGCAUGAUAGCUAAUCAAUUCAGUGACACUUAAACAGCCAUAAAAGUCCUCCUUUUAAUUAAAAUAGGAUGAUAGAGAUAAAUUUAAAAGCCAUUAGACUUCUGUAUCUACUAUUCCACCUAUUGUACAGCAUACAUGUAUUUUGUGUUUGGUUAUGUGUUGCCCUUUUUUUAUGAGUGCAUAGUAACAUUACAAGGAAAAGGCAACGAUGAGCCUCAUGGUCUGCUGUUUGUCAUCUGAGAAUAUGCCAAAGCUGCCAGUUUACUUCAUACCCCAGCAAGUCCUAAGCAAUAGGGGCCCUGGAGGAGUGUUCUUGCCUUGCUUUGACUUGAUUGAGCCACUUUGUGUCAUUCAGUCAAAACCCACAGGUCCUCACACUUGUCCACUCAGUUGAACAAGUUACACUAGAGUGGAGUGAGGAAAGGAGUGAAGAAUAAGGGGUGAUAAACACUAUCUACAGGUAGCUACAGGGAGAAGUGAAGCAAUCUUGGUUACACAGUGAGAGUGAAUUUGCUAUUCACCCUUGGGAUUUGAGAGGGGGAUUAAGGAAUGGUGGAGCAUUAUUUAAAAUUGGAGCAUUCACUCACAUACUGUUUCAGAUUCAUCUUGCACUUUGUUUAUUGCUUGGAUACAUGAAGUUGAAGGUUUUUCUUUUAAAAUAUGAAAUUAAAUUUAAGUAUCAGAACAGUUACUAACACAACUAUAAUUUGUUUUGAACUUUUUGGUUUUGGGGGUAGAGGAGUACCUGUCAAAAUAUUUGUUGACCAAUACAGCUUGUCAUUGCAUUUAGAGAAGAUUUGGAUUAUUCUGUGUGGUUUGGUGGGUUUUUAUAUUUGUUUUUUAAUGGGUUUUUUUAGUUGGUUGGGUUUUUCUUUAUUGUAAUUUGAUUUCUGAAGAGUGAGGCAAUACUGGCACCUCCAUGAUUCUACAGGAGAAAACUGAGGGACCUGGUUAAUUCAAGAUGUUCUUAUUCUGUAAGAGUGCUGCUCCACUGGUCUUGAAUAACCAGUUUAAACCCUUGAUUAGUAAAAAUCAGAUCAUGCAAAUAUAUGAAUUUGUCCUUAGAGAAGUCUGGAGAUACAGCUAUGUAUAAAAGCUUUUAUUUAUUUAUUUGUAUGGCUAGGAAUAAAGGCAAGAUCUUAUUACCCGCUCCAUCUUUCCCCCAGGCUGCUUACUAAAAACACAGAAAGGGCAGCUGGCAAAAAAAAACAAACCGUGAAAACUUGGAAAAUCUUAGAACCUUCAUCACCUACAGCUUUUUUCUGUUCUGAAGAUUAUUUUCCCCCA
Molecule: long non-coding RNA, 2936 nt
Organism: Neopelma chrysocephalum (saffron-crested tyrant-manakin)
Lineage: Eukaryota; Metazoa; Chordata; Aves; Passeriformes; Pipridae
Exons: 2
Source: RefSeq, a predicted model, not a curated record